Molecule: long non-coding RNA, 4220 nt
Filed under: Brassica napus (rape)
Lineage: Eukaryota; Viridiplantae; Streptophyta; Magnoliopsida; Brassicales; Brassicaceae
Description: long non-coding RNA (BNAP_LNC008093)
Source: RNAcentral
AAGAACAAAUCAGAAUCCAAUCAGUCUCAAUGCUAAUUCACAACGAAUCAUAAUCACAAUGCACAUACUAUAAUUAAGUUACCUUCUUGGGGUUGAGCAAGUAAUCGUACAAGGUCUUCUCUUCCCAUUCCACAGCUUUGUUCUUGUUAGCAGCAGAGUAAGAGUAACCAGCCGUUGUUCCAGACUGUCUUCCAAACAGACCGUUUAGGUUCGGUCCUAUUAAACCAUUUACAAAAAAAAAAACGCAAUGGUUAUUCACAAACAACAAAGUUCCACGCAAAUUCAAUGACCAUAUGUUAUGCAACAAGCAAAGAUCAAUGGUUGUAUCACCACUUAGGAUUCAAAAUCAGAUUCCACUAUAAGUCGAGUUUUUUGGAUUGGAUCUAAAGAUUAUUUGACAAAACAAGCGUGCUAAUCAACGAAUUCGCAAAACAGAUCGAACAUCAAGAACACAUCGGUUACAAAUCAAAAGCAUCUUAACAUAGAAGACAAGUCAAAGAGAAGAGAGAUGGAACGGAUCGGAUCGGAUCUAACCUUGUUUGUGACCGGCGCCUUUGUCGACGGUGUGACACUGAGCACACUUGGUCCUGAAGAUCUUCUCUCCGGCCUUGGAGUUUCCUGGUGGUGCUUCAUCAAACGACGCCAUUUUCGCCUGAGAUCACGAGGAGGAGGAGCCAACAAAGAGAAAACAAACACGGAACUCGCCUCUCUGGAGCUUCUAAGGGUUUCUGUGGGACACAUCACCACGCGCGACUCUCUUAAUAAUCAACAAUAAUGGGCCAAUAGCCUAACGGGCUCUUAAUGGGCUUCGGUUUAUAAUCCAGGUAUUGCCUUUAGUCGUUUAUUAGCUCAGCUGUUCAUGUAUACAUGUUAAUAGUUGUUUCGAGUAACAAAUAGAGAAAACCUUAAGACAAAUCUGAACUUUUGAGACGAUCGUGUAUAAGAUUUAUGUACAAUCAACAAACCAAUGUUUCCAGUUUGAUCAUUCAGAUAAUACAAUUUAUCCUACUUCUACAAGACGUUCUUCGUCGGAACUUUGCUCCUGAUUGAUGGAAGAAGAACCAAGAGUAGCAAACUCAUGAGCUACUCGCACACUCAUCAACCUCUUCACCUCUUCAAGCUUGCUCCACGAACCAGUAACCGUAUACAUAUCAGCAAUCAACAAAUAGUGCCCUAACUUCACUGGCUCCAUCUCCCAUAGCAGAUCUGCAGCCCACUCACCAAUGUCUUUGUUCCCGUGGAUCAAACAAGCUAUUAUCAGAGUAGCACACAUAGCACGAGACGGCUCGUAAGGCAUUCUGCGGAUUAUAUCUCUGGCGUUAACAAGCAGACCUGCUCUGCAGUAGAGAUCAACCAUACAUGAAUAGUGUUCAAGGCGAGGGAGUAUACCAAACACAUACUGCAUCUUCUUAAACUGCAUUUCUCCUUCAUGGACCAAACCGGAGUGGCUGCAAGCUGAUAAAACUGCAACCAUGGUUACAUGAUCAGGUUCCAUACCUGAUCUGAUCAUUUCCUUGAACCACGCCAAGGCGACUUCUCCUUCUCCCACCAUGCCGUAUCCAUCUAUCAGUGAAGUGUAUGUCACUUUAUCCCUCUUGCUCAUCGACUCAAACAUCCGCUUGGCGGCUAUGAUGUUCCCGGAUUUCGCAUACAUAUCAACAAGGGAGUUCCACAGGAUUAAACAGUCUUUGAAGCAGCUUUGGCGCCUCAGGAUGUAGCAGUGGAGCUCUCUCCCAUGCUGCAGGUUUGCCACCCGAGCACAGAGUGCGAGAAUGCUGGCGAGAGUAACGUGAUUCGGAUGAAAGCCAGCGAGCAUCAUCUCCUUGAGCAGGAAACACGUUUCUUCUGAUCUCUCGUUGUGCGCAAAACCUGAGAUGAUAGAGUUCCAUGUACUCAAAUCAUUCCCUUCCAUCUGCUGAAACACUAUAAAGGCGUGAUUAAGAUCACCACAUCUUGAGUACAUUGUGAUCAACGAGUUUCCAACGUUAUCGAUUGGAGCGUAACAGCUACGUAUCGCAAGGCAAUGGAACUCUCUACCCCACCGUAAAGCUCCAAUCUGCGAGCAUGCCUUCAAACCAUUAAUCAUAGCUACAGAAUCUAAACUCACAUUGUGAUUUCUCAUCUUCGCUACAAAACUCAAAGCCUUUACAUACUCUCCCGUCUGCAAAAGAACUCCAGCUAACGUGUUCCAUGUUACAACAGUCGCUUCUACGCCAGAGAGACUCAUUCUAUCGUAAAAUUCGAGAGCUUCCUCCCAUUUGCCUUGAGAAGCGUAACACUUAAUCAAUGUAUUCCACGAGACAGCGUCCCGUUCAGACAUGGUGUCAAACAAUCUCCGAGCAAUAUCCACAUUACCAAAUCUUGUAUACAUAGAUAUCAACGCAUUGCAUACAUACGAUGCUUUGAACAUAUGCCUUUAUCAUGUCAAGCAUAAGGUUACAGUAGGAUCCACCGAGCUUUUACGUUGUUGGUGUACAAUAGGUCCAUGCUGGGCAGCUUUAGUGUAUGGUAGAAGAACUAAAUUGAAAGCUAGGGUAUUAAAAGAGAGUUAUAGAACAUCAAGCUGUGGGAUCACAGAAAAAAGGUUCUGUUUUUACAUAAUGUAAAAGGAGACUGAUAUAGAAUGAAAGACAAAUACUUACUUAUGGAUGUUAACUUGAGUUGAAGAAAUUGUAUCUUUGAUGGAUCAGUGGAGACAUAUGGUUUAUGAAUGUGCUGAACUGUGGAUACGUGGUCACUCUAGCAAGCAACAUAACUACCAUCAGAUGACAAUGUUUACUAACUGUGUUGUUGUUUCAGCAAGAAGAAUCAGCUGUUGGAUUGCCAGGAGGAAACGGCCAGCUUCUAACGCUCGGGUUGGGUCUGUUGGUAACUGCAUUAGCUGCAACAUAUGUAACUGGCCUAGCAAAGGUAACUAAUACUAGUAGUUACUGUUGUGCUCUUUCCCAUCUGAACAAGGUUAUAAACACACUCGUAUCUAAUUCAUUUGUUUGGUGUUGCAGGAUGCUAUAAAGGAUAUUGAUGAUGAGUAGGGAGAUAUGGAUACUAAGAGAAGGGAGCAGAACAGUGUCGGAUUCAGUUGGAUGAGGCUCUAGGAUUUGUAAAACCUUAGUGGAGAACCAUGUUUCAGACGCUGAAUGUUAAAUAUGUGAUGACAUUAAUACUUCUCCAUCAUUGUUUAUAGUUGAUAUUAAUAUAGUUCCAUUUUUGUUCUCUACAUAUGUUGAAAGGAAAAUAGUUCUAGAUAGAUGAAUGACAAUGAUCUAGAACGAAUCCUAAUAUUGAUCUUGCUCCAACAUCAUUGUUCAUAGUUAAUAUAAUUUGAAUUUUUGUUAUCUACACACUGCAAUAUGUUAGUUGAUAAGAAAAAGAAUGCUUCUAGUUCUAGAUAGAUGCAUUUAUAUGAGUGAGCCUCAGAAAAGGACUCAAGAGUACAUUUGGAACUCAAAAGACAGAAACUCACCCAAAACGUAUUUGAAGAUGAGAGAGCAUUAUAAAAAAAAACCCAAAAACAAAUGUUUGGAGAUUUUAUUUGUCAAAAGAAUAUCUGAUAUGAGAGACUCAAAAGUCAUGAUCGUGUCCCACACCAUUGAUUGGUUCACUAAGCAGUAGAUUCCUUCAAGUAGGCGAUGAGAUCAGCACGGUCUUGAGGCUUCUUGAGCCCAGGGAAGACCAUCUUCGUUCCAGGAAUGUACUGCAUCACAAGAACAAAUCAGAAUCCAAUCAGUCUCAAUGCUAAUUCACAACGAAUCAUAAUCACAAUGCACAUACUAUAAUUAAGUUACCUUCUUGGGGUUGAGCAAGUAAUCGUACAAGGUCUUCUCUUCCCAUUCCACAGCUUUGUUCUUGUUAGCAGCAGAGUAAGAGUAACCAGCCGUUGUUCCAGACUGUCUUCCAAACAGACCGUUUAGGUUCGGUCCUAUUAAACCAUUUACAAAAAAAAAAACGCAAUGGUUAUUCACAAACAACAAAGUUCCACGCAAAUUCAAUGACCAUAUGUUAUGCAACAAGCAAAGAUCAAUGGUUGUAUCACCACUUAGGAUUCAAAAUCAGAUUCCACUAUAAGUCGAGUUUUUUGGAUUGGAUCUAAAGAUUAUUUGACAAAACAAGCGUGCUAAUCAACGAAUUCGCAAAACAGAUCGAACAUCAAGAACACAUCGGUUACAAAUCAAAAGCAUCUUAACAUAGAAGACAAGUCAAAGAGAAGAGAGAUGGAACGG